RNAcentral lists this ribosomal RNA (253 nucleotides) under uncultured bacterium. RNAcentral describes it as "partial 16S ribosomal RNA". It matches the Rfam family "Bacterial small subunit ribosomal RNA", at positions 524 to 776 of the family's 1533-position model. The record is from RNAcentral.
GACGAACCACACAAACGUUAUUCGGAAUUACUGGGCUUAAAGGGUGCGUAGGCGGCGUGGAAAGUUGGGUGUGAAAUCCCUCAGCUUAACUGAGGAACAGCGCCCAAAACUACCAUGCUCGAGGGAGAUAGAGGAAUGCGGAACUUAGGGUGGAGCGGUGAAAUGCGUUGAUAUCCUAGGGAACACCGGUGGCGAAAGCGGCAUUCUGGAUCGGUAUUGACGCUGAGGCGCGAAAGCCAGGGGAGCAAACGGG